AUAGCGUAUAUUAAAUUUGUUGCAGUUAAAAAGCUCGUAGUUGAAAUUUGGGCCUGGCUGGUCGGUCCGCCUCACCGCGUGUACUGAUUCCGGCCGGGCCUUUCCUUCUGGGGAAGCCCAUGGUCUUCAUUGACUGUGUGGGGGAACCAGGACUUUUACUUUGAAAAAAUUAGAGUGUUCAAAGCAGGCCUUUGCUCGAAUACAUUAGCAUGGAAUAAUGGAAUAGGACGGCUUUCCUAUUUUGUUGGUUUCUAGGAGAGCCGUAAUGAUUAAUAGGGAUAGUCGGGGGCAUCAGUAUUCAAUUGUCAGAGGUGAAAUUCUUGGAUUGACUCAAGACCAACUAUUG
Molecule: ribosomal RNA, 346 nt
Filed under: uncultured eukaryote
Lineage: Eukaryota
Description: SSU rRNA
Rfam family: Eukaryotic small subunit ribosomal RNA
Source: RNAcentral